Molecule: long non-coding RNA, 93 nt
Organism: Drosophila navojoa
Lineage: Eukaryota; Metazoa; Arthropoda; Insecta; Diptera; Drosophilidae
Source: RefSeq, a predicted model, not a curated record
AUUAGUUGCCAUUGUUUUUAAUAAAAAAAAAAUUUUUUUGUGCUAGUUUGCCUUAUAAGAAAAGGAAGAAACUGGACUAAAUUGUUGAAUGAA